UACGUAGGGUGCGAGCGUUGUCCGGAAUUAUUGGGCGUAAAGAGCUCGUAGGCGGUGUGUCGCGUCGGUCGUGAAAACUUGGGGCUUAACUCUGAGCUUGCGGUCGAUACGGGCAUCACUUGAGUUCGGCAGGGGAGACUGGAAUUCCUGGUGUAGCGGUGAAAUGCGCAGAUAUCAGGAGGAACACCAGUGGCGAAGGCGGAUCUCUGGGCCAUUACUGACGCUGAGGAGCGAAAGCGUGGGGAGCGAACAGG
This 254-nucleotide ribosomal RNA is filed under the name uncultured bacterium. RNAcentral's name for it is "partial 16S ribosomal RNA". It matches the Rfam family "Bacterial small subunit ribosomal RNA", at positions 524 to 776 of the family's 1533-position model. The record is from RNAcentral.